CAGUCGCCGCGGGAAUACAGAGGGUGCGAGCGUUAAUCGGAUUUACUGGGCGUAAAGCGUGCGUAGGCGGCUUCUUAAGUCGGAUGUGAAAUCCCUGAGCUUAACUUAGGAAUUGCAUUCGAUACUGGGAAGCUAGAGUAUGGGAGAGGAUGGUAGAAUUCCAGGUGUAGCGGUGAAAUGCGUAGAGAUCUGGAGGAAUACCGAUGGCGAAGGCAGCCAUCUGGCCUAAUACUGACGCUGAGGUACGAAAGCAUGGGGAGCAAACAGGAUUAGAUACCCGGGUAGUCCCUGUCUGUUAUAC
RNAcentral lists this ribosomal RNA (301 nucleotides) under uncultured bacterium. Its description in RNAcentral is "partial 16S ribosomal RNA". It matches the Rfam family "Bacterial small subunit ribosomal RNA", at positions 509 to 807 of the family's 1533-position model. The record is from RNAcentral.